Molecule: ribosomal RNA, 487 nt
Filed under: uncultured bacterium
Lineage: Bacteria
Description: partial 16S ribosomal RNA
Rfam family: Bacterial small subunit ribosomal RNA
Source: RNAcentral
GACGAACGCUGGCGGCGUGCUUAACACAUGCAAGUCGAACGCGCCUGUCCUCUGGGUUUCUGGGGGGUGGGUGAGUGGCGAACGGGUGAGUAACACGUGAGUAACCUGCCCCCUUCUUCGGGAUAACGGUCUGAAAGGGCUGCUAAUACCGGGUAUUCACUGGUCUCCGCAUGGGGUCUGGUGGGAAGGUUUUUUCUGGUGGGGGAUGGGCUCGCGGCCUAUCAGCUUGUUGGUGGGGUGAUGGCCCACCAAGGCUUUGACGGGUAGCCGGCCUGAGAGGGUGACCGGUCACAUUGGGACUGAGAUACGGCCCAGACUCCUACGGGAGGCAGCAGUGGGGAAUAUUGCACAAUGGGCGCAAGCCUGAUGCAGCGACGCCGCGUGAGGGAUGGAGGCCUUCGGGUUGUGAACCUCUUUCGCCCGUGGUCAAGCCGCGACGUGGGUCGUGGUGAGGGUAGUGGGUAAAGAAGCGCCGGCUAACUACGUG